Molecule: long non-coding RNA, 1933 nt
Filed under: Salvia miltiorrhiza (redroot sage)
Lineage: Eukaryota; Viridiplantae; Streptophyta; Magnoliopsida; Lamiales; Lamiaceae
Description: long non-coding RNA (SMIL_LNC005947)
Source: RNAcentral
CUGUUCCACGCAGCCUAGAUUUAAUUGUUCCUGCCGGCGGGUCGUUCUUCCCGGUUUGAGUACCCUGUCGCUUAGGCGGCCUACCACGCGGCCGUUUAAGAGCGCAAUCUCUGUUUGACUGAAGAGCCUCCUUAACACGCUGAGCUUUAAUAGCUGCCUCUAACUGCUAGGGCUGAGCAUCGGUUCAAAACCGAACCGAACCGAACCAAUUUCACAAAACCGAAACCGAACCGACAUAGGUAGUACACGGACCGAACCGAACCGCCUGGAGCCCGAAAACCGACCAUAACCGAACCGGUCGAAACCGAUCGGUUUCGGUCGGUUACCAAACCGACCGAUUUGCCCAAUUUUUUGAAAAACAGCCUGUAAUAUUCGAAAAAAAAUAUAAAAAUCUGCCCAAAUCAAACCCCAAUCUAUGCAUUCAUUCGAUUUACCAACCACCAAAAUUCGAAAAAAAAAACUGACCAAAACAAACUUCAAAUUUUAAUCGAAAAAACAACAAAAAUUCGAUUUACCUUUCGGACGAGGGGAGAAAGGUGACGGGUGGAGGUCUGCGUGACUGCGUCAGGCUUCAGCGGCGGAGGAGAAGCCGAUCUGGAGUCCUGGACGGCGGGUCUGGGCCGUCUGGCUCGUGCUGGAGACGUCAGACGCAGCGGGGGGCGGCCGGCGGUCUGCUCGUGCUGGUCUGCUCGUGCUACCGUGCGCGAAGAAUGGAGGCGACGCGGGCAGGUGGUGGUCGCCGGUCCUAAAACCGAAACCGAACCGAUACAUGAUCGGUUUUUUACUCUUAAAACCGAACCGAAAACCGAACCAGAAAUUCCAAAACCGAACCGAACCAAAAAUGGUCGGUUCGGUCGGUUUUUUCGGUUCGGUCGGUUCGAUGCUCAGCCCUAGAUGUUUGGGUGCAAUAUGUAUUUACUACUGUCGAGUCACUGUCCAGGAAAAGGUCGUUCAGAGUUGUCUGACCUCUCAAUCCCUCUUCCUAUAUAAAAUCCUCCUAUCUAGGCUAGGCCCCUUCUACUCUAGGAAGCAAUUCAGCCUACUUGAUUCAAUUCGUGUUUAUCAAUUAUCUACUGAAUUUCCCUGGCCCACUAUAAUUUUUAUUUAUUACAUUAUAAAUAUAUAGCACCACGAUACNAUAACUCAAUUCUGACAGAAACAACAGGAUGAACGAACACCCAAAUAUUCGAACACAUAUCAACUCUGGAGUUCUGAUGACAAGGAACCACAUUCAAAGAACGCCAAAAGAAGCAGGGCAAUUAUGAAAAGCCAUUUUAGGUUCCAGAAUACCGACCACCAACGGCGAAAAAGAGGCACAAUGCUCUUUCAGAAGAAGUUUGGUUUCAUCCGUGAGCCCACGGACGUUCCAGACAAGCAAGUUCAUAAAAACUAAUGAGUGUUAGUGGAUUGGGACUCCCCCCUCUCCACUUUAUCUGCCCAACUGUUAGCCGUAAAGUCAACAACGUUGCUCAUAACUUUGCCGCUCUUCGACGUCCGCUGUUCAAUCACAUAACCCAUUGGGUUAUGCCCCAACUCUUUCGCCUCUUGCAUACGUUUGUUAAUCAAAUCCUCAGAUUGUUGAUUACGUUCCACCUCCUCUGUUCCACGCAGCCUAGAUUUAAUUGUUCCUGCCGGCGGGUCCGUGUUCCCGGAUUGAGUACCCUGUCGCUUAGGCGGCCUACCACGCGGCCGUUUAAGAGCGCUGUCUCUGUUUGACUGAAGAACCUCCUUAACACGCUGAGCUUUAAUAGCUGCCUCCAACUGCGCUGUUUUUUUAGCCAAAUCCAACCUAAUCUCAUCAACAGUAGGCUCCAUUGGACAAACCUCUGAAUCCACCCUAGACUCGGGACCCUCGAAAACAUGGACAUCAUUCUCCAAAUUUUCAGCAAAGUUUUCCUCAUCCACUUCCUCACAACUGGUAGAACCCGUCUCC